Molecule: small RNA, 152 nt
Filed under: Vibrio cholerae O1 biovar El Tor str. N16961
Lineage: Bacteria; Pseudomonadati; Pseudomonadota; Gammaproteobacteria; Vibrionales; Vibrionaceae
Source: RNAcentral
CUUGUUUGACUCAGCCGUUGCGAAAUACGACUAACCCCAUUCAUUAGUUUGACAACAAAGGCGGAUUCUCAAUCCGCCUAAAAUGCCAAAAUUUUGAAGCCCAGUAAGGGUUAUCCAUUCUCGAAAUGAUCACGCCUUUCGACGUUGAAGCG